Long non-coding RNA from Anas platyrhynchos (mallard), 1059 nucleotides. RefSeq lists it as uncharacterized. The record is from RefSeq and is a predicted model, not a curated record. Lineage: Eukaryota; Metazoa; Chordata; Aves; Anseriformes; Anatidae.
AUGGAGUUAAUUUUUUUUUCAUAACAUCUGUUUUGGAGCUAGCUUGUAAAUUUGUGACCAAAGCAGUGUUGAUAACACACUAAUAUUUCAGCUGUUGCUGAACAGUGUUUGCACAGCUUUAAGGUCUUAGUUUCUCAUUCUGCCCUCAUCCAGUGAAUAGAUCACAGGUGUGCUAGAGGUCGGGCAGGGACACAGCCAGGCAGAUGACCCAAACUAACCAAGGAGAUAUAACAUGCUGUAAAACAUCAUGUUUCAGUAAUAAGAAGGGAGAGGAGAGAGUUCAGGGAUGUUAGACCUCUUUUGCUUGGGAACUGCCUGGGCAUCAGUCUACCCAAGGGAGUUGGUGCAUGGAGCAGUUGGGAGAGCUGCACCUUCAGGGUGACAUUCGGUGAGAUAGAAAAAUUGCUCUAAAUUUGGAGUCAACAUCCUGGGGAAGAAAAUAUAAAUAGAUCACCUAUUCAGGAGAUCGCUUACUUUUUAGAUCAAACGGAUCAGAUUUGCAGAACAUUUAAACUAAUUGAAGUAAACAGGAAAUGAAAUGAAACCAAACCGAAGUUAAACAUGUUAGAUUAACCUUGUACUUAUCUUUGAUAUCUUCCAAAGAAGUGGUUGUCUAGUCUGCAGAGAUUUCAGUAAAGCAUUGACAUGGGCAACCACUAACUGAGCUGAGAAAGCAGAGCAUUACCACAAGAAUACAAAACAAUGACCAAAGCAUGAGCAAGCAAAGUUUCAGCUAUGCAGCCCUCUAUUUUCCUGUCUCCUAAAUCCUGCUCCACAUCGCAACUGAACAUCGCGGAAUAAACACUAACAAAUUGUAUGGAGGCAUGAACCAGAAGAAUGGAGAAAUUCUGCUAGUGGAGUUACUCCAAGAUCAGAAUUGAGAUAUACAGUUAUUCCAUUGAUGACAUCAAGCUGUGGAAAUGUUAAGUUAGAAGGGGUGGAUAAUCAGAAGUGGAUCAAAUAUUAUGUAGAAUGAAAUGAAUUCCCUCAAGUGGUGUAACUGAACUCGAAUAAAAUUUAACAGUUAUAGCUUGGCGAGUAAAGACUUGCAAACAAUAA